Non-coding RNA from Drosophila bipectinata, 2249 nucleotides. Lineage: Eukaryota; Metazoa; Arthropoda; Insecta; Diptera; Drosophilidae. The record is from RefSeq and is a predicted model, not a curated record.
AAAUAAUACCUAAAAUUCAAUUUUAGGCAGGUUUAUGAUAGUUUUUUGAUAACUUAAGGUUUUUGAUGAUUUGGUAAAUAGUUUUCGCUUGCUUAUCUCUCUUUGAGAAUAGUAAAUUUUAUGAUAUUUUUUUUUUUUUUUGAAUAAGUCAUUGCUCCUGGAGCACGAAAAUUGUUUAAAACGUUACCUCCAGAUUUAAGCGAAAAACUUUUUUAAACAAACUUUAAUGCCGAAAAAUCCUUGAGAGUUUAUCGAAACAUAAGGAUAAUAAAGAAUAAAGAUUAAAUCAAGUAAUCUGCGAAAUCUAAAAAAUUUUUCAAUCUAGUAGUCCAUUUCAUCCAACUGAUUUUGGGUAGUUUAGAGAGCCUCAUAAAAUAUUCAGUCUGUUGUGAGAUUUCAUAGAGUCAACACGACAGUUUUACACUUUUUGAGGUCACAACGAAAAAGUAUACCGAAUUUUAUUUUAUUAACGAUCUAAAUUUUUUGAAAUAAGCAAUGGCUUCUCGGUGUGGACCUCCCCCAAAAAAACCAGUGGGUUCCUUUUUGAUCUGGAUGAGUACUUGCGGGCGAGCAAGGAUAAAAAAACAAUUCCCAAACUAUAAGGCGACUGAGGUAGCAUCCCUAGGUGGCAAAAUAUGGCGUCAGAUGUCCGAUGAGAAAAAGUCUUUGUGGAAGAAGAAGGCGGCUAAGGCGAGGAGCGAAUACAACCGUCGUCUUAAAGAAUAUAAGGACGACAUAGCAAAUGUGAAUACCAACGGCACUGAUGAAAAGCGUGUAACUGAUCAACCAAUGCGGAACUUUUCCAAGAAAAGGACUUGUGUAUCGGAGCCGGCGAUUGCUAAUCCAUCUGCGGCUAUCAUUAAGUGUGACUUUUGCAACAAGGAUGGAACCACUCCCACCGAAAGUCAUUCAAAUUGUUCAUGUAAUUUUUAAACAUUACUCCCGUUUAAUUGUUAAUUAAUUUCAAAAUCUAACGUAACAAAUCGGCAAAUGCCCAAAGAUAUAACAAGAGACAUAUGCUCAAUCAGUAGCUGUAAUCUCCAUUACAAACAAAUGUAGCUUAAUUUUAAUUGUUGGCAAUAUAUUACAACUGUUCACAAUGUGCUUAUGCCGACAUUUUAAAACAAAGUUUGUUUUUCUUAAAUGUGUUUAGUUAUCUGGCAACGCUGAGUUAACCGUGUUUCCCAACAAGUGCGAAAAGAAAGAAAGCUUUGCUAUUUGGCUUUUACUUUUAUGCCCUCAGUCCCUUUUGCUGCCCUCAGUCCUCAGACCCUGUGUUAGCCAAAAGCCAAAUUGGCUUUUUGUGCUGUUUGCCGGCACAUAGUGCAAUGUUUUUUCUCAGCCUGGUUUUUUGUUCUGUGCAAUUAAAGCUGCCAGCUCCUGUUUCUCCGUCCUUUCUCUGCCCGUAGAACCUUUGUGGGCCCGAGACAAAUUGUCUUCGUGAGCACAUGGACUUGCAGUGGAAAAAAUUAUCAAAUUUAAAUGCGUAGAUAAAUUUUCAUAUGUCAAAAAACUAUAACGUACCAAAAUGGCCUACUAUUUUACAAUUAUUUAUGUAGCUUAUGUAGUAUAUUUUUCUUAACUUUUUUUCCUUGGUAAUCAAAUUUUUUUAAAGUGUUUUUGUAUUGGUAUAGGUGUCAGCUACAGCUGAUAAUUGCAGUGGAAACAGUGGCAGUAGCAGGACCGGCAACAGGAACGCCAACUGCCUCCUGCAAUAAAAGUCACAAUGGCGACAGCUCACGACACAUUGCUUCACCUCAUCCCCUUCAUCAGGUCCUUUCUCCAAAGUUUGCCGGUGUGUGUGUAUGAGUGUGAUUGACGGCCGGCGGGCUUUCUCAUGUUUGUCUGCCGUGGCUGUAGUUAUUGUAGAAUUCAAUUUGCUGUAAAUGUAUUGCUGGCUUGGCUCGUGGUCGCUUCUGUUGCCUUUGGUUACAGCUCAUUAGCAACAGCGGCAGCAGCAGUACACAUCCAGUGGCGCAGCCAAGGCAAACAGAAAGGCUUUUGGUUAACAUAAAUUCAACAGCCGCGAUGCCACUAGUACAGUAAAAACAAUUGGAUUUUAAUAAAAACAAGAGUCCAUAAACUAUUUGAAAAUGUGAUAAAAAUCAUUUUAAUGCUUUUUCGUACCAUAUAAUUUUUACAAACUGAAUUUUGUACAGUAUUUUUGUACAGUAACUUUGUAUUAAAAAUUCCCUAUAAAAUAUUUACGAGCAGGCAUUAAAUAUACAACAAAAAUAAUAUCAAUAGCA